CCUACGGGAGGCAGCAGUGAGGAAUAUUGGUCAAUGGGCGCGAGACUGAACCAGCCAAGUAGCGUGAAGGAUGACUGCCCUACGGGUUGUAAACUUCUUUUAUAAAGGAAUAAAGUGAGGCACGUGUGCCUUUUUGUAUGUACCUUAUGAAUAAGGAUCGGCUAACUCCGUGCCAGCAGCCGCGGUAAUACGGAGGAUCCGAGCGUUAUCCGGAUUUAUUGGGUUUAAAGGGAGCGUAGGUGGGUUGUUAAGUCAGUUGUGAAAGUUUGCGGCUCAACCGUAAAAUUGCAAUUGAUACUGGCAGUCUUGAGUACAGUAGAGGUAGGCGGAAUUCGUGGUGUAGCGGUGAAAUGCUUAGAUAUCACGAAGAACUCCGAUUGCGAAGGCAGCUUACUAAACUGCCACUGACAUUGAUGCUCGAAAGUGUGGGUAUCAAACAGGAUUAGAUACCCCGGUAGUC
Molecule: ribosomal RNA, 460 nt
Filed under: uncultured bacterium
Lineage: Bacteria
Description: partial 16S ribosomal RNA
Rfam family: Bacterial small subunit ribosomal RNA
Source: RNAcentral